RNAcentral lists this long non-coding RNA (1615 nucleotides) under Homo sapiens (human). Its description in RNAcentral is "non-protein coding lnc-DLK1-35:66". The stretch from base 496 to 600 matches the Rfam family "Maternally expressed 3 conserved region 2". The record is from RNAcentral. Lineage: Eukaryota; Metazoa; Chordata; Mammalia; Primates; Hominidae.
CCUUGGCUCGCUGGCCUUGGCGGCGGCUCCUCAGGAGAGCUGGGGCGCCCACGAGAGGAUCCCUCACCCGGGUCUCUCCUCAGGGAUGACAUCAUCCGUCCACCUCCUUGUCUUCAAGGACCACCUCCUCUCCAUGCUGAGCUGCUGCCAAGGGGCCUGCUGCCCAUCUACACCUCACGAGGGCACUAGGAGCACGGUUUCCUGGAUCCCACCAACAUACAAAGCAGCCACUCACUGACCCCCAGGACCAGGAUGGCAAAGGAUGAAGAGGACCGGAACUGACCAGCCAGCUGUCCCUCUUACCUAAAGACUUAAACCAAUGCCCUAGUGAGGGGGCAUUGGGCAUUAAGCCCUGACCUUUGCUAUGCUCAUACUUUGACUCUAUGAGUACUUUCCUAUAAGUCUUUGCUUGUGUUCACCUGCUAGCAAACUGGAGUGUUUCCCUCCCCAAGGGGGUGUCAGUCUUUGUCGACUGACUCUGUCAUCACCCUUAUGAUGUCCUGAAUGGAAGGAUCCCUUUGGGAAAUUCUCAGGAGGGGGACCUGGGCCAAGGGCUUGGCCAGCAUCCUGCUGGCAACUCCAAGGCCCUGGGUGGGCUUCUGGAAUGAGCAUGCUACUGAAUCACCAAAGGCACGCCCGACCUCUCUGAAGAUCUUCCUAUCCUUUUCUGGGGGAAUGGGGUCGAUGAGAGCAACCUCCUAGGGUUGUUGUGAGAAUUAAAUGAGAUAAAAGAGGCCUCAGGCAGGAUCUGGCAUAGAGGAGGUGAUCAGCAAAUGUUUGUUGAAAAGGUUUGACAGGUCAGUCCCUUCCCACCCCUCUUGCUUGUCUUACUUGUCUUAUUUAUUCUCCAACAGCACUCCAGGCAGCCCUUGUCCACGGGCUCUCCUUGCAUCAGGACGAAUAAUUUAUGGUCAGUGAAAAUCCAGGCCCCAGUGAGAUUCGAGUGGGCUGUAAAAUCGAGAGUCCUGCUCCCACAGGUUCCCAGUGCCCCCGACAAGCCCCUGCUGGUGUCUCCAUCUCCUGCCAAGCAUCCUCCAGUGCCUCCUCCUGUGGGCCUGGCCUCAGGGCUAUGGACAGACUCCUGUCCCAUCCCAGAGACCCCUCGUGAUCGUGCCCUGGCACGUGGGCCGUGGCCCGGCUGGGUCGGCUGAAGAACUGCGGAUGGAAGCUGCGGAAGAGGCCCUGAUGGGGCCCACCAUCCCGGACCCAAGUCUUCUUCCUGGCGGGCCUCUCGUCUCCUUCCUGGUUUGGGCGGAAGCCAUCACCUGGAUGCCUACGUGGGAAGGGACCUCGAAUGUGGGACCCCAGCCCCUCUCCAGCUCGAAAUCCCUCCACAGCCACGGGGACACCCUGCACCUAUUCCCACGGGACAGGCUGGACCCAGAGACUCUGGACCCGGGGCCUCCCCUUGAGUAGAGACCCGCCCUCUGACUGAUGGACGCCGCUGACCUGGGGUCAGACCCGUGGGCUGGACCCCUGCCCACCCCGCAGGAACCCUGAGGCCUAGGGGAGCUGUUGAGCCUUCAGUGUCUGCAUGUGGGAAGUGGGCUCCUUCACCUACCUCACAGGGCUGUUGUGAGGGGCGCUGUGAUGCGGUUCCAAAGCACAGGGCUUG